AGAGUUUGAUCCUGGCUCAGAUUGAACGCUGGCGGCAUGCUUUACACAUGCAAGUCGAGCGGCAGCGCGGGGGCAACCCUGGCGGCGAGCGGCGAACGGGUGAGUAAUGCAUCGGAACGUGUCCCGUAGUGGGGGAUAACGCCGCGAAAGCGGCGCUAAUACCGCAUACGCUCUACGGAGGAAAGCAGGGGAUCCGCAAGGACCUUGCGUUAUGGGAGCGGCCGAUGUCCGAUUAGCUAGUUGGUGGGGUAACGGCCUACCAAGGCGACGAUCGGUAGCUGGUCUGAGAGGAUGAUCAGCCACACUGGGACUGAGACACGGCCCAGACUCCUACGGGAGGCAGCAGUGGGGAAUUUUGGACAAUGGGGGCAACCCUGAUCCAGCCAUGCCGCGUGCGGGAAGAAGGCCUUCGGGUUGUAAACCGCUUUUAGCCGGGAAGAAAAGGUUCGGGUUAAUACCCCGGAUUUUUGACGGUACCGGCGGAAUAAGCACCGGCUAACUACGUGCCAGCAGCCGCGGUAAUAC
Molecule: ribosomal RNA, 525 nt
Filed under: uncultured bacterium
Lineage: Bacteria
Description: bacterial SSU rRNA
Rfam family: Bacterial small subunit ribosomal RNA
Source: RNAcentral